GGUUAUGGCUCAGUGGUAGAGCACUUGCCUAGCACAUGUGAGGCCCUGGGUUCAAUCCUCAGCACCA
RNAcentral lists this transfer RNA (67 nucleotides) under Marmota monax (woodchuck). RNAcentral describes it as "tRNA.Ala". The record is from RNAcentral. Lineage: Eukaryota; Metazoa; Chordata; Mammalia; Rodentia; Sciuridae.